Molecule: unclassified non-coding RNA, 615 nt
Filed under: Melitaea cinxia (Glanville fritillary)
Lineage: Eukaryota; Metazoa; Arthropoda; Insecta; Lepidoptera; Nymphalidae
Description: misc RNA ENSMCXG00005011317.1
Source: RNAcentral
UGUAGUGCUUUCUGUUCCGCAGGUUGCAGGUUCAAUUCCCGCGUGAAUCUGGGUGUAUUAUUUGUUUUUAUAUUUGUAUUAUUUCUAUGUAUAUUUAUCAAAAAAAAAAAAUGUAUAUAUUUGGUUAUACCAGUCGGUUGUUACCUAUAACAUAAAGCAUUAAGUUCCUUACUUUAGGAACAGAUGACCGAGUGUGUAUGAUGCAGAUAUUUAUUUAUUUGCUUAUUUUAUCUUGAGGCUAUAUUUCAAUCCCUAGCCUGACACAAACAAAGGCGGAUAAAAUAAGUAUAUAAUAAAUAGUUAGUAUUGAGUAUUACUAAUGUGCUAGUUUUUAUUGAUAGUCAAACAGUUAUGCCUGACUAUCCAGUAUCUCUGUUACUGCACUGACAUUAGAUAAGACAUUGUCCUACAUUGCAUUUGAUAUAAGAAUAAUGCGCGUCUUGCCUCGAGCUUGUGGCUCCGUUCCACAAUGUCAUAUCAUUAACAAAGGAAACGUUAGAACUAUAUCCGCGAUAUAAGUAAUUAUUUAAAAAAACGCGAUAAAAAAUUAGCAUGUCUGAUCUAAAACCAAAAUAGAAUAAAAUCUGUCUACCGAUAAUUAAACGUGGACACAUA